AACGAACGCUGGCGGCAUGCCUAACACAUGCAAGUCGAACGAGACCUUCGGGUCUAGUGGCGCACGGGCGCGUAACGCGUGGGAACCUGCCCUUAGGUUCGGAAUAACUCCCCGAAAGGGGUGCUAAUACCGGAUAAUGUCUUCGGACCAAAGAUUUAUCGCCUUUGGAUGGGCCCGCGUUGGAUUAGCUAGUUGGUAGGGUAAAAGCCUACCAAGGCGACGAUCCAUAGCUGGUCUGAGAGGAUGAUCAGCCACACUGGGACUGAGACACGGCCCAGACUCCUACGGGAGGCAGCAGUGGGGAAUAUUGGACAAUGGGCGAAAGCCUGAUCCAGCAAUGCCGCGUGAGUGAUGAAGGCCUUAGGGUUGUAAAGCCCUUUUACCCGGGAUGAUAAUGACAGUACCGGGAGAAUAAGCUCCGGCUAACUCCGUG
This 433-nucleotide ribosomal RNA is filed under the name uncultured bacterium. RNAcentral describes it as "partial 16S ribosomal RNA". It matches the Rfam family "Bacterial small subunit ribosomal RNA", at positions 29 to 507 of the family's 1533-position model. The record is from RNAcentral.